Molecule: long non-coding RNA, 1717 nt
Organism: Prionailurus viverrinus (fishing cat)
Lineage: Eukaryota; Metazoa; Chordata; Mammalia; Carnivora; Felidae
Exons: 2
Source: RefSeq, a predicted model, not a curated record
GGCUUGCGGGAGGGGAAGCGAGCGGGAAAGGGGAUACUCAGACCCAGGAGAUGGGGUGGCAAGAGGAAUGAAGUGCGAAGAGCAGUGCAGAACUUUCCGUAUCCUUAAACCAAUCUGGACCUUCAUUUAUCUCGGUUGGCAUACGGAGAGGCCAAUAUUAUUCCUCACCACAUACCCUUGUGAACACCUGGAAGAAUUACCGAUGGUAACAAUGUGAGUUCAUGCUAUUGUCCAGUGAAGAUUUGGUGCCCUGAAAACCCUGUGCAAGAGUGUGCUGGGGACCACCUCCUACAGAAGGGAAGGGAAGAGAGCAAAGUUGAAAGGAAGGAGAGGUCCAGCUGUGGUGCGGGUCCAAUAACAGAGUCUUGGCCAAUGCCCUUCAGAAUCGCCCUGAAUCGGGCAAGAUGGACAGGCUUCUAUAACCCCACAUGGAUUGUCACCAAGGUGUGAGUAGGAUCGUGGCUGAGGCAGCUGUUUGCAUUCAGAAAAUUCCUGAAAGGGUUGGGAGAGCUGAGAGACAGCUGAAGAAGACUCUCAACCAAUAGCACUCCCAGGUAGGAGGGCGACAUGUCCUUCAUUGAAGGAGAUACGUCCUGCAUCUGGGUAGUGCAUCACAAUACCCACUGGAUGCCCCUUUCUGGGAGAAAGUCUGAUAAGAAAGCAAGAAUCAGUCCUCAGCAAAACCAUAAAGAAGACAGCUUGGUUUGAGUGUCCCUCUUAAGAUUCCCCUUCUUGUGAAGACUGACUCCUUUCCUUUUCCCUAGAAAGCCAGUGCUUUCAUGCUGCCCUGUGCUGGAUCCCGCCAUUUUCUCACCACCUCUAAGAACUUCUGCAGACAUUGUCCUGUUUCUCAGGGAUUAAAUACACUAGGACUUUGCUUCUGUCUCUCAAAUUACAGGUUUCUUGUGCAUUUUAACAGAGAUCACCUAUAUCUUCACACAAAUUAGUGAUUCAUGUUGAGAAUUUCUGGAAUUAUAGUCAGGAAAGCUGUUUUUCCACCCACCUCUGAUCCUUCUGAGAUAACUUUCCUUCUUCAUCAAAUACAUCUUCUAGUUCUGUGUGUGUGUGUGUGUGUGUGUGUGUGUGCUUUUUAAUUUUUUGUAGCAGAUGAAAAUCCAGGAUACCAGGACAGAACCAGAUUCCAUGAGAUUCUGGAAUGUAGCUGAAAACAUUGUGACAUGGUUUCCCACCCUACGGUCUAGUAGAGGGGCAAAGAAGAGUCCCAGGAAUUAGUACUAAAAAGAGAGAAAAGCCCUGGGGCCCCUGGAAAAGAAAGGAGAGGGAUCUUAGGACGCUGGUUGUGGCCUGAAAAAGGACUCCAAGGUGGAAGAGAGGGACCCAUGUUCCUAGAAGACAAAGCACUCCACAAAAAACAACUCCAACAGCUACCAAGUGAUGGCAUCUCUAACUCAGGCUCCCAUCCCUCAUCUGUGUUCAGCAUUUUCAUUGCCUGGGGCUAUGAAAGCCCCUUUUUCAUCGGGGUUUCACAUAUUUGUGCAGUAAGUGGCUAGUGUUGGGCUUUGAAGUCCAAUAUGACCUGACAGAAUUUGAAAAGAUCUGCGUGGACUCAAAACGAUGCACACCUUUCAAUCCAUGGUCUAACAUGCCUUCCAAACUGUUAUUUCAUUCUCUAGAAAGAUGAACCUUUAUUUAACUUUCUUUCACAGUUAAUACAAAAAUAGUAUACUUAUUUAUUAUAAAUUUUGCAGAUAAUUUC